RNAcentral lists this ribosomal RNA (253 nucleotides) under uncultured bacterium. Its description in RNAcentral is "partial 16S ribosomal RNA". It matches the Rfam family "Bacterial small subunit ribosomal RNA", at positions 524 to 776 of the family's 1533-position model. The record is from RNAcentral.
UACAUGUGGGGCAAGCGUUGUUCGGAAUUACUGGGCAUAAAGGGUGCGUAGGCGGCUUGCUAAGUCAGUGGUGAAAUCGUCCGGCCCAACCGGACACGUGCCAAUGAUGCUGGUGAGCUUGAGUGCGUGAGGGAUAGGGGGAACGAGCAGUGUAGCGGUGAAAUGCGUAGAUAUUGCUCGGAAGGCCAACGCCGAAGGGACCCUAUUGGUGCGCAACUGACGCUGAGGCACGAAAGCGUGGGGAGCAAACAGG